This 253-nucleotide ribosomal RNA is filed under the name uncultured bacterium. Its description in RNAcentral is "partial 16S ribosomal RNA". It matches the Rfam family "Bacterial small subunit ribosomal RNA", at positions 524 to 776 of the family's 1533-position model. The record is from RNAcentral.
UACGGGGGGGGUAAGCGUUGUUCGGAAUUAUUGGGCGUAAAGGGCGCGUAGGCGGCUUUGCAAGUGACGGGUGAAAUCCCUCGGCUUAACCGAGGAACUGCCUGUCAAACUGCAUGGCUUGAGACCGGGAGAGGUGAGUGGAAUUCCCAGUGUAGCGGUGAAAUGCGUAGAUAUUGGGAGGAACACCAGUGGCGAAGGCGGCUCACUGGACCGGUACUGACGCUGAUGCGCGAAAGCGCGGGGAGCAAACAGG